RNAcentral lists this transfer RNA (73 nucleotides) under bacterium. RNAcentral describes it as "tRNA-Gln". It matches the Rfam family "tRNA". From Rfam's summary of the family: Transfer RNA (tRNA) molecules are approximately 80 nucleotides in length. Their secondary structure includes four short double-helical elements and three loops (D, anti-codon, and T loops). The record is from RNAcentral. RNAcentral also lists the same sequence under 3 other names.
UGAGGAGUAGAUCAAUUGGUAGAUCACCUGACUCUGGAUCAGGGGGUUGCAGGUUCGAGCCCUGCCUCCUCAG